GUAGGGAAUCUUGCGCAAUGGGCGAAAGCCUGACGCAGCCAUGCCGCGUGAAUGAUGAAGGUCUUAGGAUUGUAAAAUUCUUUCACCGGGGACGAUAAUGACGGUACCCGGAGAAGAAGCCCCGGCUAACUUCGUGCCAGCAGCCGCGGUAAUACGAAGGGGGCUAGCGUUGCUCGGAAUUACUGGGCGUAAAGGGAGCGUAGGCGGAUAGUUUAGUCAGAGGUGAAAGCCCAGGGCUCAACCUUGGAAUUGCCUUUGAUACUGGCUAUCUUGAGUAUGGAAGAGGUAAGUGGAAUUCCGAGUGUAGAGGUGAAAUUCGUAGAUAUUCGGAGGAACACCAGUGGCGAAGGCGGCUUACUGGUCCAUUACUGACGCUGAGGUGCGAAAGCGUGGGGAGCAAACAGGAUUAGAUACCCUUGUAGUCC
RNAcentral lists this ribosomal RNA (425 nucleotides) under uncultured bacterium. RNAcentral describes it as "partial 16S ribosomal RNA". It matches the Rfam family "Bacterial small subunit ribosomal RNA", at positions 354 to 796 of the family's 1533-position model. The record is from RNAcentral.